UACGUAGGGGGCAAGCGUUGUCCGGAAUUAUUGGGCGUAAAGCGCGCGCAGGCGGUUUCUUAAGUCUGAUGUGAAAGCCCACGGCUCAACCGUGGAGGGUCAUUGGAAACUGGGGAACUUGAGUACAGAAGAGGAGAGUGGAAUUCCACGUGUAGCGGUGAAAUGCGUAGAUAUGUGGAGGAACACCAGUGGCGAAGGCGACUCUCUGGUCUGUAACUGACGCUGAGGCGCGAAAGCGUGGGGAGCAAACAGGAUUAGAUACCCUGGUAGUCCACGCCGUAAACGAUGAGUGCUAGGUGUUAGGGGGCUUCCACCCCUUAGUGCUGAAGUUAACGCAUUAAGCACUCCGCCUGGGGAGUACGGCCGCAAGGCUGAA
RNAcentral lists this ribosomal RNA (376 nucleotides) under uncultured bacterium. Its description in RNAcentral is "bacterial SSU rRNA". It matches the Rfam family "Bacterial small subunit ribosomal RNA", at positions 524 to 898 of the family's 1533-position model. The record is from RNAcentral.